Molecule: ribosomal RNA, 459 nt
Filed under: uncultured bacterium
Lineage: Bacteria
Description: partial 16S ribosomal RNA
Rfam family: Bacterial small subunit ribosomal RNA
Source: RNAcentral
CCUACGGGUGGCAGCAGUGAGGAAUAUUGGUCAAUGGCCGGAAGGCUGAACCAGCCAAGCCGCGUGAGGGAGGAAGGCGCAGAGCGUCGCAGACCUCUUUUGCCGGGGGACAAAAGGCCGGACUCGUCCGGUCCUGAGGGUACCCGGAGAAAAAGCAUCGGCUAACUCCGUGCCAGCAGCCGCGGUAAUACGGAGGAUGCGAGCGUUAUCCGGAUUCAUUGGGUUUAAAGGGUGCGCAGGCGGAAGAUCAAGUCAGCGGUAAAAUUGAGAGGCUCAACCUCUUCGAGCCGUUGAAACUGGUUUUCUUGAGUGAGCGAGAAGUAUGCGGAAUGCGUGGUGUAGCGGUGAAAUGCAUAGAUAUCACGCAGAACACCAGUGGCGAAGGCGGCUUACUGGACUGUAACUGACGUUGAGGCUCGAAAGCGUGGGGAGCAAACAGGAUUAGAUACCCCUGUAGUC